UGGGGAAUAUUAGGCAAUGGGGCGAAAGCCUGACCUAGCAACGCCGCGUGAGGGAAGAAGGUCUUCGGAUUGUAAACCUCUGUCCUUGGUGAAGAACACAAUGACAUUAGCCAAGGGAGAAAGCUCCGGCUAACUACGUGCCAGCAGCCGCGGUAAUACGUAGGGAGCGAGCGUUGUCCGGAAUUACUGGGCGUAAAGGGUGCGUAGGCGGUAGGCUAAGUCAGCGGUCAAAGUUCCGGGCUCAACCCGGUGUCGCCGUUGAAACUGGCGUGCUCGAGUGCGUGCGAGGAAGGCGGAAUGCGUUGUGUAGCGGUGAAAUGCAUAGAUAUGACGCAGAACUCCGAUUGCGAAGGCAGCUUUCCAGCGCGCUACUGACGCUGAGGCACGAAAGCGUGGGGAUCGAACAGGAUUAGAUACCCUGGUAGU
This 426-nucleotide ribosomal RNA is filed under the name uncultured Mahella sp. Its description in RNAcentral is "bacterial SSU rRNA". It matches the Rfam family "Bacterial small subunit ribosomal RNA", at positions 355 to 794 of the family's 1533-position model. The record is from RNAcentral. Lineage: Bacteria; Bacillati; Bacillota; Clostridia; Mahellales; Mahellaceae.